This 253-nucleotide ribosomal RNA is filed under the name uncultured bacterium. Its description in RNAcentral is "partial 16S ribosomal RNA". It matches the Rfam family "Bacterial small subunit ribosomal RNA", at positions 524 to 776 of the family's 1533-position model. The record is from RNAcentral.
UACGAAGGGGGCUAGCGUUGUUCGGAAUUACUGGGCGUAAAGCGUGCGUAGGUGGUUCGUUAAGUCUGAUGUGAAAGCCCUGGGCUCAACCUGGGAAUGGCAUUGGAAACUGGCGACCUAGAGUGCGGUAGAGGGCAGUGGAAUUCCCGGUGUAGCAGUGAAAUGCGUAGAGAUCGGGAGGAACAUCUGUGGCGAAGGCGACUGCCUGGACCAGCACUGACACUGAGGCACGAAAGCGUGGGGAGCAAACAGG